Molecule: ribosomal RNA, 582 nt
Filed under: Bacillus zhangzhouensis
Lineage: Bacteria; Bacillati; Bacillota; Bacilli; Caryophanales; Bacillaceae
Description: bacterial SSU rRNA
Rfam family: Bacterial small subunit ribosomal RNA
Source: RNAcentral
CGGCGGACGGGUGAGUAACACGUGGGUAACCUGCCUGUAAGACUGGGAUAACUCCGGGAAACCGGAGCUAAUACCGGAUAGUUCCUUGAACCGCAUGGUUCAAGGAUGAAAGACGGUUUCGGCUGUCACUUACAGAUGGACCCGCGGCGCAUUAGCUAGUUGGUGGGGUAAUGGCUCACCAAGGCGACGAUGCGUAGCCGACCUGAGAGGGUGAUCGGCCACACUGGGACUGAGACACGGCCCAGACUCCUACGGGAGGCAGCAGUAGGGAAUCUUCCGCAAUGGACGAAAGUCUGACGGAGCAACGCCGCGUGAGUGAUGAAGGUUUUCGGAUCGUAAAGCUCUGUUGUUAGGGAAGAACAAGUGCGAGAGUAACUGCUCGCACCUUGACGGUACCUAACCAGAAAGCCACGGCUAACUACGUGCCAGCAGCCGCGGUAAUACGUAGGUGGCAAGCGUUGUCCGGAAUUAUUGGGCGUAAAGGGCUCGCAGGCGGUUUCUUAAGUCUGAUGUGAAAGCCCCCGGCUCAACCGGGGAGGGUCAUUGGAAACUGGGAAACUUGAGUGCAGAAGAGGAGAGUGG